Long non-coding RNA from Triticum dicoccoides, 2000 nucleotides. RefSeq lists it as uncharacterized. The record is from RefSeq and is a predicted model, not a curated record. The transcript has 4 exons. Lineage: Eukaryota; Viridiplantae; Streptophyta; Magnoliopsida; Poales; Poaceae.
CCUCCGGCAACGCCCUCUCCCUCUCCUCGUCGCCGCCCUCUCCUCUCCCCGUCGCCGGCCUCUCCCUCUCCCCGUCGCCGGCCUCUUCCACCGCCCUUUUUCCUCACCACCCCGCCUCCACUCAUACCCCGUAAGUCAACAAAAUAUCGAUUCUUUUUGCGCCGGCGACGAGCUUCUAGGCGAAGGACAUGUGGAUGUGUAGCGGCGCCAGAGCUCGAUAUAGGCAACGAAGGCGUGGACGUGGAUCGGUGCCCGAGCGGCGGAUCUGGAGCGGCGCCCGAGCAACGGAGGGAGAUGGAGUUCCCUCCUGGCAUGGCGGCUCGAUCUGCAACGCCCGCAGCUGCGGUACGCCACCCUCGCUGCUGUCGCAGGGAGAUGCCGCUCUUCCCCUUCCCGGUCCGCCCUGAUGUGGUUUCCUCUCCGUGACCCGUCAUCGGAGGCACGGCCAGAGGCAUCCCCGCCGCGUGCAGCUGCUACUCCCGGACGCCGCCGCCGCCCUCCGCAAGGAGCAACUAUAACCUGAAGCUCUGCGGCCCGGCGUGCGCCGAGCGGCGCGCCGCGGGGGCACCGUCGCCGACCGGCCACACGACAUCGCUCUCGUCCAGCUAGAAGCAUGCGCUGUCGUGGCCUGCCUCCGGCUGCUUCAGCAGGCCAAGAAACUGGAACACACCCAUGCCCGGCGACCUCAGCAUCUCCAUCGAUGAUGAUAAUUUAAUCGAAAAGGGACGGCAUGCUGAGGUGUACAAAGGACAGCUUGCUGAUUGAUAGUUUGUGGCAGUGAAGAGGUUAACAAAAAUACUUAACCAAGCAUGCUGAGAUGGCGUCGACCUUGGCCUCCUCGUCGAUCUGACUCUGCAUUAAGAAAACUUGCUGGCAUCAAGUGUCCCCCUUCCUCCACCGGCAGCCUUCCAUCGAAUUCACAUCAGAAAACUUCAUUCAUUCACCCAGAAAAAAUAACUGACAUUGCCAACAUCUCACAAGAAAGAAGAGAGCAGAGUUGAAGUUGCGAGCCUGUUUACUUGCAGCUACACCUGUGUUCUUCUUCUUCUUCGCAGAAUCAAUCAGAUUCUCUUGAUUGGAGUGGAGAGGAGCAGAGACGAGAGGAGCAGCAGAAGUGGACAGCGCAACGGCUGACCUCGAGCUCUUGAUUGGAGUUGGGGGAGGCGGCCGGCGAAGGAUCUGUGGCCAACAGUGAAGGAUCCGAAGCUGUGGCAGAGCAGGCAGCCGGCGGGAAGGGCGGCCGGCGAGGGAGCUGCGGACCGCGGCGGGGAAGGGCGGCAGAUGAGGGAGCUGUGGACCGUGGCGGGGAAGGACGCCAGAGAUGCGGACGACGGAGGAGCCUGACGAAAGGGAGCAGCGACGGCGUAGAAGCCUGGCGGAGGGGAGGAGCGAUGGAGGAAGACGCCUCCCGAUUGAUUUCAAAUCGGGGGUAGUAUUGUACUUUCACACUGUUUCACCUGGUCAGAACGACGCCCCCAGCGACAAUUAUUUCGGAACGGAGGGAGUACACCCCAAUGCAGCAGAUGGACCCCCCCUCCCCGUGAUGGUUGGUUAGCCAAUACCAACAAAUGCAUUCCAAAGAUGGCAGUACAUCACACGAAGAACCAUGCUGAGGCAUCUUUCAACGUCGGAAGUUGCACAUCAAGUUCCCGCACCAAGGAGCGGGGUUGUGCACUGCCCGAGGACAACUCUCCUCAUAGGGCGUGUGAGUCCAAACAGGACAUACCACGUCACCCGCGCCACCAUGGGACAGGUGUAGGCCGGGACAUCGGCCUCAACGAUGCACGUUAUACCAUUGUUGCUCUCUGAGAUCUGAGUGGACCAUCGACGAUGUGCUUUUCCUACUUCUUUGAUCAGGUGGUCGCCCACUGAUAUGUCUUCAACUUAUCUAUAAUUUUUUAUUGUUCCAUGCCAUUAUAUUAUCUAUUUUGGAUGUUUUAUAUGCAUUAUUAUGUUAUUUUAUAUUAUUUUUGGGACUAACCUAUUAACCUAGAGCCCAG